Molecule: long non-coding RNA, 526 nt
Organism: Pectinophora gossypiella (pink bollworm)
Lineage: Eukaryota; Metazoa; Arthropoda; Insecta; Lepidoptera; Gelechiidae
Exons: 3
Source: RefSeq, a predicted model, not a curated record
UUAUUAUAUAUAAAAUGACAAUCGUUAACAACUGUGACUCAGAUGGCGAUACGACCGACGCAUCAUCUAUCAUCAAGUUCAUGUGGCGAUGGAUGAACCUGUGAUCAUCCCUAUUAAGCAUUUUAUCGUCAGCAUUAUGUUAUGUGUGUAGUUAUGGUAGAUAAAGAAGACAAAAAUAUAUUUACAUUUUAAAGUAUUUUUAUCUACCAGUCUAUUAUGUUGAAAUUAUCAAAUAAAUAAGUAUUAAUUUAAUAUUAUAAAUGAGCAGCGGAGGUCUGUUUUGCUCUAUGAUGAGCAAUGACAUCCAAGUUCAAAUCAAAUUAAUGUAGGAUUUUAAAUUUCCACGAAACGAAUGUGUACUUGAAGAAACAGGUCUAUGAUCAUUUUUUUUAUGUCUAUGGCAAUACUCUAGAUUGGUCUAUGAGUGGUGUGACUUUUACUUCUUCCCAGAAUGGCGAAAGGAUUAUAAUUGUGAAUGUAACAAUAAUAUAAUAAACUGUGUGGAGCUGAUUUGCCAAGCUUUUAU